AUUGAGUUUGUCUGGCUCAGAUUGAACGCUGGCGGCAGGCUUAACACAUGCAAGUCGAGCGGUAACAGGGGAGCUUCUGCGUAAGAUUAGCUAGUUGGUAGGGUAAAGGCCUACCAAGGCGACGAUCUUUCUGGUCUGAGAGGAUGACCAGUCACACUGGGACUGAGACACGGCCCAGACUCCUACGGGAGGCAGCAGUGGGGAAUAUUGGACAAUGGGGCUCCUGCUGACGAGCGGCGGACGGGUGAGUAACGCGUAGGAAUCUACCUAGUAGAGGGGACACAUUGAAAGCAUGCUAAUACCGCAUACGCCCUACGGGGGAAAGGAGGGGACUUUUCGGAGCCUUCCCUAUUAGAUGAGCCGGAAGCCUGAUCCAGCCAUGCCGCGUGUGUGAAGAAGGCCUUAGGGUUGUAAAGCACUUUCAGGGGUGAGGAAGGGUAGCUAGUUAAUACCUAGUUAUCUUGACGUUAGCCCCAGAGAAGCACCGGCUAACUUGUGCCAGCAGCCGCGGUAAUACAGAGGGUGCAAGCGUUAAUCGGAAUUACUGGGCGUAAAGCGCGCGUAGGUGGUUUGUUAAGUCGGAUGUGAAAUCCCAGGGCUCAACCUUGGAAUGGCACCCGAUACUGGCAGGCUAGAGUAUGGUAGAGGGGUGUGAAUUUCCUGUGUAGCGGUGAAAUGCGUAGAUAUAGGAAGGAACAUCAGUGGCGAGUGGCGCAGCUAACGCAAUAAGUAGACCGCCUGGGGAGUACGGCCGCAAGGUUAAAACUCAAAUGAAUUGACGGGGGCCCGCACAAGCGUGGAGCAUGUGGUUUAAUUCGACGCAACGCGAAGAACCUUACCUACUCUUGACAUCCAGUGAAUCCAGAAGAGAUUUUGGAGUGCCUUCGGAACACUGAGACAGGUGCUGCAUGGCUGCGCUAGUAAUCGUGAAUC
This 933-nucleotide ribosomal RNA is filed under the name Marinomonas sp. Sed7. RNAcentral describes it as "partial 16S ribosomal RNA". It matches the Rfam family "Bacterial small subunit ribosomal RNA", at positions 1 to 1073 of the family's 1533-position model. The record is from RNAcentral. Lineage: Bacteria; Pseudomonadati; Pseudomonadota; Gammaproteobacteria; Oceanospirillales; Oceanospirillaceae.